GCAUAUCAUUAAGCGGAGGA
This 20-nucleotide ribosomal RNA is filed under the name Glomus sp. p28. Its description in RNAcentral is "partial 25S ribosomal RNA". The record is from RNAcentral. Lineage: Eukaryota; Fungi; Glomeromycota; Glomeromycetes; Glomerales; Glomeraceae.